This 551-nucleotide ribosomal RNA is filed under the name uncultured archaeon. RNAcentral's name for it is "bacterial SSU rRNA". It matches the Rfam family "Archaeal small subunit ribosomal RNA", at positions 321 to 879 of the family's 1478-position model. The record is from RNAcentral.
CCCUACGGGGUGCAGCAGGCGCGAGACUUCUACAAUGCACGAAAGUGUGAUAGAGGGACUUCGAGUGCUAGCUUUGCUAGCUUUUGUUAACUUUAGAACGGUUAACGAUUAAGGACUGGGUAAGAUGCGUGCCAGCCGCCGCGGUAAUACGUACAGUCCGAGUGGUAUUCCCUUAUAUUGGGCCUAAAGCGUUCGUAGCCGGUUCAGUAAGUCCUUUGUGAAAUCGGCUAUCUUAAGUAGUCGAAUUGCAAGGGAUACUGCUAGACUCGAGACCGGGAGACGUAAAGGGAAUUUUUGGAGUAGUGGUGAAAUGCUGUGAUCCCAAAAAGACCACCUGUAGCGAAGGCGCUUUACGAGAACGGCUCUGACGGUGAGGAACGAAAGCUGGGGGAGCGACCGGGAUUAGAUACCCCGUUAGUCCCAGCCGUAAACGAUGUGGACUAGGUGUCCUAGCACUCAUGUAGUGUAAGGGUGCCGAAGCGAAGGUUUUAAGUCCACCGCCUGGGAAGUAUACUCGCAAGGGUGAAACAUAAGGAAUUGACAAGGAGCAC